RNAcentral lists this ribosomal RNA (253 nucleotides) under uncultured bacterium. RNAcentral describes it as "partial 16S ribosomal RNA". It matches the Rfam family "Bacterial small subunit ribosomal RNA", at positions 524 to 776 of the family's 1533-position model. The record is from RNAcentral.
UACGUAGGGUGCGAGCGUUGUCCGGAAUUACUGGGCGUAAAGCGUGCGUAGGCGGUGAGUUAAGUCUGUCGUGAAAUCCCCGGGCUCAACCUGGGAAUGGCGAUGGAUACUGGCUCGCUAGAGUGUGAUAGAGGAUGGUGGAAUUCCCGGUGUAGCGGUGAAAUGCGUAGAGAUCGGGAGGAACAUCAGUGGCGAAGGCGGCCAUCUGGAUCAACACUGACGCUGAGGCACGAAAGCGUGGGGAGCAAACAGG